RNAcentral lists this microRNA precursor (101 nucleotides) under Marmota monax (woodchuck). The record is from RNAcentral. Lineage: Eukaryota; Metazoa; Chordata; Mammalia; Rodentia; Sciuridae.
AGUGGGAUAACUGGGUCAAAUGGUGGUUCCACUCAGUUUUCUGAGGAAUCUUUAUACUGUUUUCCAAAGUGGUUGCACCAAUUUGCAGGCCAACCAGCAAU